Molecule: long non-coding RNA, 126 nt
Organism: Cucurbita moschata (crookneck pumpkin)
Lineage: Eukaryota; Viridiplantae; Streptophyta; Magnoliopsida; Cucurbitales; Cucurbitaceae
Exons: 3
Source: RefSeq, a predicted model, not a curated record
AAAAAUAUUGAGCAUGUACCAACCAAUAAGCUAAGAAGGCCACAUAAAUUGAUAUUCAGUCUGAACAAACUGGAUAUUAAAAGGAAAGCAAGUCAAACCAUAUAAGGUUAUGCAAAGUAAUAAAAA